CAGUCGCCACGGUAAUACGUAGGUGGCAAGCGUUAUCCGGAAUUAUUGGGCGUAAAGCGCGCGUAGGCGGUUUUUUAAGUCUGAUGUGAGAGCCCACGGCUCAACCGUGGAGGGUCAUUGGAAACUGGAAAACUUGAGUGCAGAAGAGGAAAGUGGAAUUCCAUGUGUAGCGGUGAAAUGCGCAGAGAUAUGGAGGAACACCAGUGGCGAAGGCGACUUUCUGGUCUGUAACUGACGCUGAUGUGCGAAAGCGUGGGGAUCAAACAGGAUUAGAUACCCCUGUAGUCCCUGUCUUUUAUAC
Molecule: ribosomal RNA, 301 nt
Filed under: uncultured bacterium
Lineage: Bacteria
Description: partial 16S ribosomal RNA
Rfam family: Bacterial small subunit ribosomal RNA
Source: RNAcentral